Molecule: ribosomal RNA, 484 nt
Filed under: uncultured bacterium
Lineage: Bacteria
Description: partial 16S ribosomal RNA
Rfam family: Bacterial small subunit ribosomal RNA
Source: RNAcentral
AUUGAACGCUGGCGGCAGGCCUAACACAUGCAAGUCGAGCGGAUGAAGGGAGCUUGCUCUUGGAUUCAGCGGCGGACGGGUGAGUAAUGCCUAGGAAUCUGCCUGGUAGUUGGGGAUAACGUCCGGAAACGGGCGCUAAUACCGCAUACGUCCUGAGGUAGAAAGUGGGGGUUCUUCGGACCUCACGCUAUCAGAUGAGCCUAGGUCGGAUUAGCUAGUUGGUGGGGUAAAGGCCUACCAAGGCGACGAUCCGUAACUGGUCUGAGAGGAUGAUCAGUCACACUGGAACUGAGACACGGUCCAGACUCCUACGGGAGGCAGCAGUGGGGAAUAUUGGACAAUGGGCGAAAGCCUGAUCCAGCCAUGCCGCGUGUGUGAAGAAGGUCUUCGGAUUGUAAAGCACUUUAAGUUGGGAGGAAGGGCAGUAAGUUAAUAGCUUGCUGUUUUGACGUUACCAACAGAAUAAGCACCGGCUAACUUCGUG